This is a long non-coding RNA of Gossypium raimondii (Peruvian cotton), 367 nucleotides long. RefSeq lists it as uncharacterized. The record is from RefSeq and is a predicted model, not a curated record. The transcript has 2 exons. NCBI's taxonomy places the organism in Eukaryota, Viridiplantae, Streptophyta, Magnoliopsida, Malvales, Malvaceae.
UUCUAAGCAGCUGACAUUUUCCAUUCCUCAAAGCUUCCGCCUCUCCUCAUCUCUGCCUUGCCAUCUCUAUCUCUCAGCAUCUUCCUUCUCCAUCUUUCUGCUCCAUAGAUCUGUAGGGCUAUUGAGCACCCAACUUUUUUAGCACUUACAAGACCAUUGUGUGAUCUGUAUUCAACUUAUUCCUCCCCUUCUAGUUGCAACGAUAAAAGAAACUCAGGGUAUGUAGAUGUUGUUGUAGUUCUGAAUGCCGUGGGUCUUAUUUACUGGAGUAAAUUGUUAAUGCUUUUAUUCUUUAGCAUUAUAAUUGAUUCCAUGGUUUAGUUUUAGCAUUGAGUUAAUGGAUUAAAAGGAAGUAUUGAGGUGAUUA